Molecule: ribosomal RNA, 505 nt
Filed under: uncultured bacterium
Lineage: Bacteria
Description: partial 16S ribosomal RNA
Rfam family: Bacterial small subunit ribosomal RNA
Source: RNAcentral
GACGAACGCUGGCGGCGUGCCUGAUACAUGCAAGUAGAACGCACAGUUUAUACCGUAGCUUGCUACACCAUAGACUGUGAGUUGCGAACGGGUGAGUAACGCGUAGGUAACCUGCCUGGUAGCGGGGGAUAACUAUUGGAAACGAUAGCUAAUACCGCAUAAUAUUAAUUAUUGCAUGAUAAUUAAUUGAAAGGUGCAAUUGCACCACUACCAGAUGGACCUGCGUUGUAUUAGCUAGUAGGUGAGGUAACGGCUCACCUAGGCGACGAUACAUAGCCGACCUGGGAGGGUGAUCGGCCACACUGGGACUGAGACACGGCCCAGACUCCUACGGGAGGCAGCAGUAGGGAAUCUUCGGCAAUGGACGAAAGUCUGACCGAGCAACGCCGCGUGAGUGAAGAAGGUUUUCGGAUCGUAAAGCUCUGUUGUAAGAGAAGAACGGGUGUGAGAGUGGAAAGUUCACACUGUGACGGUAGCUUACCAGAAAGGGACGGCUAACUACGUG